UGUGGCAGAAUAGUGCGGNGGACUUAAACCCCAUAAAUAAAGUGCAACUUUCUUUANAA
RNAcentral lists this transfer RNA (59 nucleotides) under Serrognathus titanus. RNAcentral's name for it is "tRNA-Leu". The record is from RNAcentral. Lineage: Eukaryota; Metazoa; Arthropoda; Insecta; Coleoptera; Lucanidae.